UCACAAUUUUUUUUAAAAAUAUUUUAUUAAUAAAAUAAAUAUAAAAAUACAGAAAAUAUAAAAAUAUAAAACUUCAUAAAAAAAUUCAAAACAAAUCAUUCACAAGAAUCUUUUGAAGAUAAUGAUUUUUUUCUAAUCUGAAUUAGAGUAAUCAUAACCCAAUGACUAACUGAUGUUUUGGAUUUUUUUAAUCUGCUAUGUUCUGUGUGUGUUGGUUGGAUUUGAGAAAGUUCAGAAUUGUUAAAGGGAAGAAUAUAUUGAAGAAAUAAAGGGUUAAACCCGGGUCUAUUAAAGACGCAGACUUAACCCCCGAGUGGGAGGUGCAGUCCACAACAGGCCCUCUCCCAGAUUUUCAUACGGACGUAUCCGCAGCCGUGGUGAGCAGAACAAUGUGACUUAGUUUCUGCAGCAGGAGGAUCGAACCCGAAAUGUAUUUGCAUCCAAGGCCCAUCCACUACCACUAGACCACAAGGCCCGCUCAGAAGGGAAUAAUAUAUACUAAUGAUAACUUGAGGGUAGCCAGUUCAUAGCACUCAAUGCACGCUAUUCCUUAGUCGCUUUUAUAAAACCAUAUAUAAUUUUAUUCUUGAUUUUUGUGAAUUUUUAUGAUUUGUUUUGAUUUUUAUGAUUUUUUAGAUUUUCUAUAUUUUAUAUUUAUUUUAUUAAUAAAAUAAUAUAAAUAUUUUUGUGAAUCUUUUAUUUUUGCAAAAUUUUAUAAUUAUUUUUAUAUUUAUUUUAUUAAUAAAAUAAUUUAAAAUAUUUUUUGUGAUUUUUUGUGAAUUUUAUUGACUUUUUAUGAUUCUUUUGAAUUUUGUUUUAUGAAUUUUUUUUUUUCCAUCUUUUAUUAAAGUGCUGGGCCGAAGUCCAAAAACACAGAAAAAACACUAAAAGCCCACAAGAUGGACAUAACAAAACAGAAACAAAUGGGCCUAAAGCCCAAUCGACCCACAAACGUAAACGCGCGUCAACCAAACAUACGUGACCAUCCACGCGUUGAGAAUCACAGUCAACGCGACACACGCGUCCGGACACCUCAUGAAGCAUGAACGCCACGUGCUGAAGAAAGCCCAAACGCAGGGACACGCGCCACCCAUCCACCACUUCUUUCCUCGCCGCCUGAACGGCACCACUUCUUUCCUCGCCGCCUGAACGGCACCGCUUCAAUUCAUCGCCGGAGACACGGCCAGAGACCUCGUAUCGCCGGAAAACACACCAGACGACUACAAGCCUUCAACGCCAAAGAUGACCACCAGCAAAGAAAAUAUCGGCGAUUAUCGAAUCAUUCAAGCGUCAAUUCCAGAGCCAAAUCAGAGAAACUCUAUUCUCCACCAUUUUCCGAUGAAACCCACCUCUAACAACUGUAUUAAAGGUAUCGGGUUUCAUCAGCUUCAUCUCUCCGACACACACCGGAUCACGUCCAGAUCAUGCGUAUAAAACGCAUACCCCUUCAACACCAUCGCCUCUUCCAGCGAUUGCCUUCCUCAUCUUCACUUCCUUUUUUCACCACCCGUUGUGUCACACCCAACAGAGAAAAGGGGCGAACCACCAAAGCCGGCGGCGCGAGGUUGAAUAAACCUCCACUCCCCGGAGUCAAACACCGACGAUGACGAUCUAUGAAAGCCUCAUCAUCCCGGAGUCUCUGGACCUCUACAAACGCGAUCCCUCCCACUCUCAAAACUAUCUCAAACCUCAUAAGAGGAAGAGGAACUGAGAGAGAAAUCUCUCUCUAGGAGAGAAUGAGAGAGAAAGCUCAUUCUUUUACUCAUUUUGUUUUAUGAAUUUUAAUAUGUUACGUUACCUUACUUGUUUCGUCGUGAAUUUUUUUUUUCCGAGCAACAAAAAGGUAGUAUACAUGUACAUGUACGUUGUUUUGAACAACACAUAUUGUUAUUUUACUUAUUUUGUCGUUAAUCUAUCGAUUCAGCUUUAUGCUAAAUGGGUCCGCUUUUUUAUACUAAAUGGGUUAUACAUGUACAUUGUUAUUUAACCUUUUGAAUAGUAUAUUUGCCAAAUGUGUAACAGAGAUAGCUUCAAAGAAAAGAAGAACAAGGAUAAAACAAGAACGGAAGAAACAUCACCAUAAAGUUUAAAAAGAAAUAUAAACCAUGACCAUGUCUUAAUAAAGUUGUAGUCGGAUGAAAUAAGUAUCAAAUACAUUGUUCAUAUAUGCCAACAUCAACCAUGUCAUAUAAUUUUUACAUAGGUGUACUGUGUAUAAAUACAAUCAUAAUAAAAAUAUAAAAUGGACAUAAAUCGCAAGGUGGGACCCAACGGGAUGGAUUGAAUUAAUAUCCAAACGUCUAUCAGAUACACGAACUAUCUUCAUGCAUGAUGCUGAGGGAUAUUGCAUUGAUGAUGUCUUUUCUCUAAUGCAUUGUAAAAUAACCAGUAAAGAUUCCACGAAAAUCAUUUAAUUUCUUCUACACUGUAAUAAUUUACUUCCACACGUAAACGAUGAUGCCUUUUCUCUCUCUAACGCACUGUAAAAUCAACUUCUCGAAAAUCAUAUAUAUUUGUUUAGUAUUCUCAGCUUUGUCCUUAUUCUUACUUAAGAAGUUCCGCUAACGUCUAGGGGCACGUGGCGACAUACAACGCGUACAGUUAUAGUGUACGGAGACCAGGUGAUGACGAGAGAAACCAGAGGUUAGUCGCAUACGUUGCUUCUCUCUCUCUAUCUCUCUCUCUGGGUUAAAGAGAUUUCUCUUCACAUUUUCGCAAAUAAAGGAAAUACAUUUUCUUAGUAGCUACAGAGCUGAAGAGAUGGAAGCAAGCAGGAAGAGAACUGAUGCACAGAAGCAGCUCGGCUCUGAGGGAUCUCAAGGAGGUAAGAUCUUUCCUUCUUUUGACGUUUUUGAAUGUGUAGUAGAAAGUCUCUGAGAUCUUCCUUCUUUGUCGUUGUUGUAAGAGAUGGAAGCAAGCAUGAUGAAAACAGAUGAGCUCUACUCUGAGGGAUCUCAAGGAGGUUAGAUCUUUCCUUCUUUUUCGUUUUUGUUUAUGUAGUAGAAAGUUCCAAAACGUUGAAGCAUAUUGAUGUUGGUAUCUGAAUGAAAUUUUAAUCUGAAUGUUUGUUGUUUUUACUGCUUUAAAAUGUUGGUUUUACGAUUGAUGUUUAUAGAACUUUAGGGAAAUGUUUAUUUUGAAUAUUGGUGGGGUUUUGAGCUCUUACAAGUUGGGUUUAUGAGAUUGAUGUUUAUAGAGCUUUAGAGAAAUGUUUAUCUUGAAUAUUGGUGGGGGUUUAGAGCUUUUAUGAGAUUGAUUUUCAUAGAGCUUUAGAAAAAUGUUUAUUUUGAAUGUCUGAUGGCUUUACAGCUUUAAAUGUUGGUUUUAUGAGAUUGAUUGAUGUUUAGAGAGCUUUAGAGAAAUGUUUAUUUUGAAUAUUGGUGAGAGUUUGAGCUUUUACUUGUUGGUUUCAUGAGAUUGAUGUUUAGAGAGCUUUAGAGAAAUGUUUAUUUUGAAUAUUGGUGGGAUUUUGAGCUUUUACCUGUUGGUUUUAAGAGAUUAGUGAUAAAAUAUUGUUAGAGGCGGAUGGUUGAAGAACACUUGGUUUCUGUUCUCAUUUUAUUUACGACUGUUAAUAGACAAAUGGCUUAUUGGAUCAUUUUUCUUUCAUACCAGACUUUGAAGAGCUUGAGAAGAUGGUCAAUCAUCUCGAGGAGGAAACUAAGAAUCUGAGAGAGAAGCUGACUCAGCGAGAACAGGUGAUGGUCGUUGUGAUGAGUGACCACGAGGUGAAACUCAGUGACCAAAAAAAGUGUUUGGAGCUGAAGGAAGAAAGCUGGAAGAUGGAAAGAAUCAACUUUGUGAAGCAACUCAGUGACCUAAGGAAGAGUAUGGAGCUGCAGGAGGAAAGCUGGGUGGUGGAGAGAAGAGACCUUAAAGAACAGUUUGAGGAGCAACUGCAUGGCCACAAGAUGAGCAUGGAGCUGAAGGAGGAAAGCUGGAAGAGGGAACUAAAACUUCUUGAAGAAAAGUUGGAGAAGCAGCUCAAUGAGCAAAACCAGAAGGAGGAAAGCUGGAAGAAGGAGGAAAGCAAGCUUCAUGAACAGUUUGAGAAACUUCUCCAAGAAAACAACACCAAUGUGGAACAGCUUGCUGUAUUGUAUACCAGCAGCUUUACAACAAGGUAAUUAAACCCUCUUUCAAAUUAGCUUGUUAUGGAGUUUUGUGAUAAACAAUUGUGCUUUCAGGAUAACCUGCUCACUGGAUCUCCACUGGAGAGAUUUCAAGGUCUGCUCCCCACUUGGAUGACUACAGCUGUUGCUCCUAAAGGAUAUAUAAGUGGAGACGAGCUUGGAGUCCUUACGGCCAAUCUGAUCUCCACCACAGCGCUGAUGGUGACUUUUGCCAACAAAGAAACCAAGAUCAUGUUUCCACUUGGAUUUAUGACCUUGUGUGGCACUGUUGUCGGCAGCGUGUUUAACAACAUCGUGACUAAGAUAUCUAUGUUAAGUAUAGUUUCAGCAAAAUUUGUUAUAAGUAGAAUUUAUUGAUAAAUUCUAUGUUUUUUUUUUUGAUUAACUUGCAGGAUCCUGAUGCAAAAGGCCUGCCAGAACUAAAUAAGUCAUUCAGUCAAGUUCCAUGGGUGUUGGCUGGAGCUGUGGUUCCACUGCUAGUGGGUGGAUUCAUAAAGGAUUGGGGAACAAGAUGUGCUGUUACUUCUGCUGCAACACUAGCUGUGCAGGUAACAUCAGUGGGAGGAUGGAAAGCUUCAUAUGGAAUCAAAUUUGGAACAGCUGCAUCGAUUGUUGGACUUGGAGUGAUUGGCAUAUUCCUUGCAGCAGGUCUUCCCUUAGUCAUUGACAUGAUAGGAAAGAAGUGAAAUCAAGAGAGUUCGUAGUUAAUGAAUGGAGUGUGGUUGAGACUCGAAGUUAUCCGGUGGAACCAAGUGAAGCUCCUCCUCAUUGGCCUUUCUUAUCUUUCAUGUUUUGUUUGUUAAAACCGUUCUGAAAAAAUUGUUAUCUUGUUUUUAGUUGCAAAUCAAUACUUUGAACUUUGAAGUGUUAACUUUCUUUUGGCAACAAUCAAUGCUCUUAUGUGAGAAUUUUUGUUUCACUUGUCUGGGAAUAAACCUAUUCACGUGGAGUGAGAAUGCUUAUUGUCUCUCGCAUCCUCCACGUGUUUAGUAUAGGUGGAAGAUGAGAUUUGAGCAUGUUGGUUCAAAACCAUUCUGGUUUAGUCUUACGUAAUGUAUGGGGGAGUGGCUAAAUAUAUUUGUUUUUCGAAACUGAGUGGCUAAAUAUUACACCGAUGUUAUAAGUUAUAACUAAUCGACAAGAAUAUUUAAAUUAUUUAAAUCACUUAAAAUUUCUUCUCAAAAACUUUUCUCUGUUUUCUCUCUUCGUACCAUUCACAGAGAAAAAGUUUCAUCACUUUAUUCCAUUCUUUUACCUUGAAUCGAAUUAUAUUUCGUUUAUAAAAUGAUAUUUUCUUUUGUAUUCUCUCCUUAUUCUCCAAUCAAUAUCUUAAGUAUUAGAAAAUAAUCCAUACGUUUGAAAAUUAUGUAUUUUUCCUAUCUUUAUUCUUUAUUAUUCUGUUUAAAAUAUUAUCAGGGAUAUGAUAGUAACUAAUCGUACCAACUUUAAAAUUUUAUCCAUAUUCCCUUUCGAAUUAAUAUUUAUGAUAAUAAGAAAUAUUGUUUAACAGUAAUUGCCAGGAAAGGUAAAUAGAUAACCACAAGAUUAUUGAUGUAAAUUUCAUGUAUUUUAACAGAGAGAAAAGAGAGACUGAUGAAGCAAAUUCCAUAAGAAAACAUAAAGAACGUAAUAAAAAUCAAGCAAAUAUUUAAAACCCACGUAUAACCAGAAAAUAAAAAGAACUUCGAACGAUAAACCCUAUUAAGAGUAAAAGUCUUAAAGCUUUUCCCUAAUUCCUAAUCACUAAAAAUAUCUUGAUUUGCAAAGGUUAUGCUUUGCCUUGAUCGUUGUCCAUCUUUCAUGCUCUUGGGUUUAGAUUCAUGCUUUGAUAUUCAGAUGCACAAUUUCUUCAUCGUUCUCUUUACAUGCCCGCAAGGAACAUUUAACACAAAUACAAGAACCGAAAAGAAAAACAAU
Molecule: long non-coding RNA, 6050 nt
Organism: Brassica napus (rape)
Lineage: Eukaryota; Viridiplantae; Streptophyta; Magnoliopsida; Brassicales; Brassicaceae
Exons: 2
Source: RefSeq, a predicted model, not a curated record